GCCUAGGAAUCUGCCUGGUAGUGGGGGACAACGUUUCGAAAGGAACGCUAAUACCGCAUACGUCCUACGGGAGAAAGCAGGGGACCUUCGGGCCUUGCGCUAUCAGAUGAGCCUAGGUCGGAUUAGCUAGUUGGUGAGGUAAUGGCUCACCAAGGCUACGAUCCGUAACUGGUCUGAGAGGAUGAUCAGUCACACUGGAACUGAGACACGGUCCAGACUCCUACGGGAGGCAGCAGUGGGGAAUAUUGGACAAUGGGCGAAAGCCUGAUCCAGCCAUGCCGCGUGUGUGGAGAAGGUCUUAGGAUCGUAAAGCACUUUAAGUUGGGAGGAAGGGCAGUAAAUUAAUACUUUGCUGUUUUGACGUUACCGACAGAAUAAGCACCGGCUAACUCUGUGCCAGCAGCCGCGGUAAUACAGAGGGUGCAAGCGUUAAUCGGAAUUACUGGGCGUAAAGCGCGCGUAGGUGGUUCGUUAAGUUGGAUGUGAAAUCCCCGGGCUCAACCUGGGAACUGCAUUCAAAACUGUCGAGCUAGAGUAUGGUAGAGGGUGGUGGAAUUUCCUG
Molecule: ribosomal RNA, 562 nt
Filed under: uncultured bacterium
Lineage: Bacteria
Description: bacterial SSU rRNA
Rfam family: Bacterial small subunit ribosomal RNA
Source: RNAcentral